UAAGCAACCUGCCCCGAAGACCGGGACAACAUCUCGAGAGGGGUGCUAAUACCGGAUGUGGCCACUGGGAGACAUCUUCUGGUGAUUAAAACAAGCUAGCAAUAGUAUUGGCUUCGGGAGGGGCUUGCGGCCUAUCAGCUAGUUGGUGGGGUAACGGCCUACCAAGGCGACGACGGGUAGCUGGUCUGAGAGGACGGCCAGCCGGACUGGGACUGAGACACGGUCCAG
This 228-nucleotide ribosomal RNA is filed under the name uncultured bacterium. Its description in RNAcentral is "partial 16S ribosomal RNA". It matches the Rfam family "Bacterial small subunit ribosomal RNA", at positions 118 to 334 of the family's 1533-position model. The record is from RNAcentral.